UGCGUAGGCGGUCUUUUAAGAUAGAAGUGAAAUCCUUAGGCUCAACCUAAGAACUGCUUUUAUUACUGAAAGACUUGAGUGAUGGAGAGGUAAAUGGAAUUCCUAGUGUAGCGGUGGAAUGCGUAGAUAUUAGGAGGAACACCAGAGGCGAAGGCGAUUUACUGGACAUUAACUGACGCUGAGGCACGAAAGCGUGGGGAGCAAACAGGAUUAGAUACCCUGGUAGUCCACGCCGUAAACGAUGGAUACUAGUUGCAGGAAGUAUCGACUCCUCCUGUGACGUCGCAAACGCAAUAAGUAUCCCGCCUGGGGAGUACGGCCGCAAGGUUGAA
Molecule: ribosomal RNA, 332 nt
Filed under: uncultured bacterium
Lineage: Bacteria
Description: bacterial SSU rRNA
Rfam family: Bacterial small subunit ribosomal RNA
Source: RNAcentral